UACAGGCUUAACACAUGCAAGUCGAGGGGCAGCAUGGUCUUAGCUUGCUAAGGCCGAUGGCGACCGGCGCACGGGUGAGUAACACGUAUCCAACCUGCCGUCUACUCUUGGACAGCCUUCUGAAAGGAAGAUUAAUACAAGAUGGCAUCAUGAGUCCGCAUGUUCACAUGAUUAAAGGUAUUCCGGUAGACGAUGGGGAUGCGUUCCAUUAGAUAGUAGGCGGGGUAACGGCCCACCUAGUCUUCGAUGGAUAGGGGUUCUGAGAGGAAGGUCCCCCACAUUGGAACUGAGACACGGUCCAAACUCCUACGGGAGGCAGCAGUGAGGAAUAUUGGUCAAUGGGCGAGAGCCUGAACCAGCCAAGUAGCGUGAAGGAUGACUGCCCUAUGGGUUGUAAACUUCUUUUAUAAAGGAAUAAAGUCGGGUAUGGAUACCCGUUUGCAUGUACUUUAUGAAUAAGGAUCGGCUAACUCCGUGCCAGCAGCCGCGGUAAUACGGAGGAUCCGAGCGUUAUCCGGAUUUAUUGGGUUUAAAGGGAGCGUAGAUGGAUGUUUAAGUCAGUUGUGAAAGUUUGCGGCUCAACCGUAAAAUUGCAGUUGAUACUGGAUAUCUUGAGUGCAGUUGAGGCAGGCGGAAUUCGUGGUGUAGCGGUGAAAUGCUUAGAUAUCACGAAGAACUCCGAUUGCGAAGGCAGCCUGCUAAGCUGCAACUGACAUUGAGGCUCGAAAGUGUGGGUAUCAAACAGGAUUAGAUACCCUGGUAGUCCACACGGUAAACGAUGAAUACUCGCUGUUUGCGAUAUACUGCAAGCGGCCAAGCGAAAGCGUUAAGUAUUCCACCUGGGGAGUACGCCGGCAACGGUGAAACUCAAAGGAAUUGACGGGGGCCCGCACAAGCGGAGGAACAUGUGGUUUAAUUCGAUGAUACGCGAGGAACCUUACCCGGGCUUAAAUUGCAGAUGAAUUACGGUGAAAGCCGUAAGCCGCAAGGCAUCUGUGAAGGUGCUGCAUGGUUGUCGUCAGCUCGUGCCGUGAGGUGUCGGCUUAAGUGCCAUAACGAGCGCAACCCUUGUUGUCAGUUACUAACAGGUUCCGCUGAGGACUCUGACAAGACUGCCAUCGUAAGAUGUGAGGAAGGUGGGGAUGACGUCAAAUCAGCACGGCCCUUACGUCCGGGGCUACACACGUGUUACAAUGGGGGGUACAGAGGGUCGCUACCACGCGAGUGGAUGCCAAUCCCCAAAACCUCUCUCAGUUCGGACUGGAGUCUGCAACCCGACUCCACGAAGCUGGAUUCGCUAGUAAUCGCGCAUCAGCCACGGCGCGGUGAAUACGUUCCCGGGCCUUGUACACACCGCCCGUCAAGCCAUGGGAGCCGGGGGUACCUGAAGUGCGUAACCGCGAGGAGCGCCCUAGGGUAAAACUGGUGACUGGGGCU
Molecule: ribosomal RNA, 1437 nt
Filed under: uncultured organism
Description: SSU rRNA
Rfam family: Bacterial small subunit ribosomal RNA
Source: RNAcentral